GGGGAAUAUUGGUCAAUGGGCGAGAGCCUGAACCAGCCAAGUCGCGUGAGGGAAGACGGCCCUACGGGUUGUAAACCUCUUUUGUCAGGGAGCAAGAACAGGCACGUGUGCCUGACUGAGAGUACCUGAAGAAAAAGCAUCGGCUAACUCCGUGCCAGCAGCCGCGGUAAUACGGAGGAUCCGAGCGUUAUCCGGAUUUAUUGGGUUUAAAGGGAGCGUAGAUGGAUGUUUAAGUCAGUUGUGAAAGUUUGCGGCUCAACCGUAAAAUUGCAGUUGAUACUGGAUAUCUUGAGUGCAGUUGAGGCAGGCGGAAUUCGUGGUGUAGCGGUGAAAUGCUUAGAUAUCACGAAGAACUCCGAUUGCGAAGGCAGCCUGCUAAGCUGCAACUGACAUUGAGGCUCGAAAGUGUGGGUAUCAAACAGGAUUAGAUACCCUGGUAGUCCACACGGUAAACGAUGAAUACUCGCUGUUUGCGAUAUACGGCAAGCGGCCAAGCGAAAGCGUUAAGUAUUCCACCUGGGGAGUACGCCGGCAACGGUGAAACUCAAAGGAAUUGACGGGGGCCCGCACAAGCGGAGGAACAUGUGGUUUAAUUCGAUGAUACGCGAGGAACCUUACCCGGGCUUAAAUUGCAGAUGAAUUACGGUGAAAGCCGUAAGCCGCAAGGCAUCUGUGAAGGUGCUGCAUGGUUGUCGUCAGCUCGUGCCGUGAGGUGUCGGCUUAAGUGCCAUAACGAGCGCAACCCUUGUUGUCAGUUACUAACAGGUCAUGCUGAGGACUCUGACAAGACUGCCAUCGUAAGAUGUGAGGAAGGUGGGGAUGACGUCAAAUCAGCACGGCCCUUACGUCCGGGGCUACACACGUGUUACAAUGGGGGGUACAGAGGGCCGCUACCACGCGAGUGGAUGCCAAUCCCAAAAACCUCUCUCAGUUCGGACUGGAGUCUGCAACCCGACUCCACGAAGCUGGAUUCGCUAGUAAUCGCGCAUCAGCCACGGCGCGGUGAAUACGUUCCCG
This 1017-nucleotide ribosomal RNA is filed under the name uncultured bacterium. RNAcentral describes it as "bacterial SSU rRNA". It matches the Rfam family "Bacterial small subunit ribosomal RNA", at positions 356 to 1376 of the family's 1533-position model. The record is from RNAcentral.